This is a long non-coding RNA of Grus americana (Whooping crane), 542 nucleotides long. RefSeq lists it as uncharacterized. The record is from RefSeq and is a predicted model, not a curated record. Lineage: Eukaryota; Metazoa; Chordata; Aves; Gruiformes; Gruidae. The transcript has 3 exons.
UUAGGCAAAACGCAUGUUUAAUUUACCACCAGGCAGAUGUUGGAUAGCUCUCACAUUACAUGGUCACAGGGCUUGAAGUCUCCUUUUUCUUCUCUGCUGUUGACUCAACAGAGGCAACCAGCAACACUGAUCUUAUGAUCCAUCUCUACAUGUGAUCUCCUGAAUCGAUACGAAUCCCAUGCAUACAUCAAUGUCCUGAUCAUCCUGAUGCAACUACCAAGAGAAGAAUGAAAUGUCCUUAUAUGACUAAAGAGGAAAAGUUCCCGGUUGAUCCCAUGACCACUAAAGCGCUUCAUCUACUGAUACACUGAAUUAGGCUGCAGGUCUUGGAACUGAUGUCACCACAGAGUCGGGGUCCGGGAAAUCUCUGAGUCACGUGCAAAUGCAGAGCCAGGAAAUAUCAGCAGAAGAAGUAAAUAUUAAGGCAAAAGAUGUUGGAAGCUGGUGACGGCUUCCUGAAAGAAGCCAUGAGAAGCUGGUCAGUGCUAAGAGCAAACCAUGGCCUUGGAUUAAAUCCAAUAUUCGGCUUGGAUGACAAAUUA